Molecule: small RNA, 94 nt
Filed under: Klebsiella michiganensis
Lineage: Bacteria; Pseudomonadati; Pseudomonadota; Gammaproteobacteria; Enterobacterales; Enterobacteriaceae
Description: partial RtT sRNA
Rfam family: RtT RNA
About the family: This family represents a bacterial cis-regulatory element known as RtT RNA. The exact function of RtT is unknown although it is thought that it may be involved in changing the cellular response in relation to amino acid starvation.
Source: RNAcentral
AAGGUUCGAUUCGAGCGGAGCGAGAAAGCGUUGCCGCAGGCAACGACCCGAAGGGCGAGGCGCAACGCGCCGAGUAAUCCUUCCCCCAUCACCA